Molecule: ribosomal RNA, 425 nt
Filed under: uncultured bacterium
Lineage: Bacteria
Description: partial 16S ribosomal RNA
Rfam family: Bacterial small subunit ribosomal RNA
Source: RNAcentral
GUGGGGAAUAUUGGACAAUGGGCGCAAGCCUGAUCCAGCCAUGCCGCGUGAGUGAUGAAGGCCUUAGGGUUGUAAAGCUCUUUCACCGAUGAAGAUAAUGACGGUAGUCGGAGAAGAAGCCCCGGCUAACUUCGUGCCAGCAGCCGCGGUAAUACGAAGGGGGCUAGCGUUGUUCGGAAUUACUGGGCGUAAAGCGCACGUAGGCUGAUAUUUAAGUCAGGGGUGAAAUCCCGGGGCUCAACCCCGGAACUGCCUUUGAUACUGGGUAUCUUGAGUAUGGAAGAGGUCAGUGGAAUUGCGAGUGUAGAGGUGAAAUUCGUAGAUAUUCGCAGGAACACCAGUGGCGAAGGCGGCUGACUGGUCCAUUACUGACGCUGAGGUGCGAAAGCGUGGGGAGCAAACAGGAUUAGAAACCCGUGUAGUCC